UUAGAGCUUGAAUUGAUCAUAAUCCUAGUUAUGCUUGUCAUAAUAUUUAGACAACAAGAUUCUUGUUGAUACAUGGUAGCAAAUGUUGCAUCAGAAGUGGUACUGAUAAUUUUGUAAUGUACCCUCUUUAAAUUUGUGUGGAGCGAUAGAUUUGUGUAGAUGUGUGAUAAAAAGGAAGAGUAUACACUCAAAAGUGUCCAUUGUUUUUGCAUGUCUAACAUCUUGAAAGGUAAUAAUAUCAUAAUGGUGGGCGAUUUGAAUGUUCUUCCGAAAGAAAUUAUGAGUUCUUCCAAACCUUAAAAACUUUCGUUGGCGUCAGAACCCACGUGUUCUAGUGUGAAGACAUACCUUAUCCCUCUAACUUAUUGUGAAUUUCCCCUUUUCCCCAAGGGUUUAUGGCGGCGCUAAUUUAUCCCCUUUCGAACUCAAUCUCAAACUUAUCGACCUUUUCUAGUUUACCCUAGCUAUUCCAUAUUGUUCUCCCGGUGCUGCUCUGUUUUUUCAUGUCAAUUGUACUAUAGUUUGAGGUUUAGCCAUGGACCAUUGGAAGGAGAUCCUGUAAACCAAAUAAGAAGAAGUGGUUGUCGUAGCUGGAGAAGAGGAAGAGACUGGAGUGGAGGUGUUCAUUCACACCUUGGUGGGGAAGCUUUGAACCAAUAAUCCCCUCAAUAUUAGAUCCUUCAAGUGUACCAUUGUUCAAGCUUGGCGACUGAAACGCCCCGUUGAAGUACAAGAAAUAGGUUGCUAUUGACCUUUGGCAGUUGAAAAAAGCACGCUGGUUAAAUAUCACGACAAGAACUUGAAAGUUUGCUUCAGGUACAAAAGACUCUUAACUUUUUGUUUUGUGUGUGGUAGAAUAGGUCAACAAUUAACAAAUUGUGAUGAACUUGGUGAGAAAGGGGAAGGGGGCUUUGAGGAGGUUGAGGAACAUGACUUAUCCUUUGGCCUUUGGUUGAUGGCCUAUUUUUUACCAAAGUUCUACAAAGAUGGAGAAAAAAAAACAACUCUGGUUGUAGUAGAAAUUUUUUUUAGGCCUCCACUAGUUAGAGUAGGUAUGACAAUGCUGGGAAAACAUCGAAAAUUGAAACUAAGUUCAACAAAAAGAAAGACAAGACAAUUUCACCAAAGCAAAUAGAUGAAGGGCUAGUGGUGAUCCAGGUGAACAAUAAAGAGGUGGAAAGUGUGGUGGAAUCCUUAGGAGCGAUUGUCCUCUCCAAUGAUUUAAAUAUGGGAAAAUCAAAUUCUAGUGGGGGAAAAAGAAAAUACGAACUGGGCAACAAAAGCCUAAGAAGCUGAAACCUUAACAAAACAAAUAACUAGAAUUAGAGCUUGGAAAAAGGUGUUUGAUUGAAGUCUUAGUCUUAGAGGAAAUUCCAGAUGACUUGUUUACUAGCAAGAAAAAGAGGGAAAAAAUAUAGAUGCUAGACUCAAGUCCAUAGAAGUAAGGGGUGGUGUUGGUCUAACUCAGUGAAAAUUAUUAAUUGGAACUAUAAGGGGUUGGGGAACCCUUGGGAAGUUCGGGCCUUGUUAAGGCUCACUAGAAUAGAAAAUUCCCACCUAGUUUUCUUGAUGGGAACUAUGUUGAAGGAAUAGGAGAUGGAAAGGAUUCGUGUUUGAUGUGGUUUCAAUUCGGGAAUGUAUGUCCCUUGUAAUGGUUUGGGGAAAGAAAGAUCGGUUGACCUUGCUUUGUUAUGGAAUGACUCUAUCAAUACCUCUAUUAUUUCCUACAACCUAAACCAUAUUUUUGAAAAGUGGCAGAUGAGGUAAAUGGGGAGGUUUGACAUUUAGGCGAGGUAUACGACUUCUCCAAGGAAAGAUAUAAGAAGAAUACAUGGGAACUAAAUAGAGAGAUUUCAUGAGGUGGUAGAAGGCUAAUGGUUGUGUGUUGGGGAUUUAAAUGAAACCCUUAAUGCAAAUAACAAAGGUGGUAACAAGAUAAGUUAUAAAUAAUUGAAACUGGGUAGAAGGUUUAUAGAGGAUUGCAGACUUUCUUGGCUUUAUGGGCCACCUUUAAACUAUGUCAAAUAGACUGGAGGAGAAGAGAACAUUAAGUGUCUUCUUGACAAGGCUCUAGCUACAGAAUAGUUCAUUCACUAGUUUAAUCCAAUCCAAGUUACUCACUAACCUAGAUAUGGUUUACACCUCUAGACUCUCCUUGUAGAAUUGGAAUCAGUGAACCAUACUCUCCAAAGCAAAAGAGUGUACUUGUUCUAUUUUCAAAAAUGUUAUACCUGUAAUGAAAUAUGUGAAGAAACGGUCAAGAAAACAUGGAGGAUGGGUCAAUUCAAAUUUUUAGGCCAAAUUUCAGACCUACAAAGUCUGAACUCUGAAUUUAAAACAUAUAUAGAACAUUGACCACGAAUAAAAGAAUAAGGACAAUGGUUAGAUGAUCCCAAUUCUUUGGCAACUUACAACCAACUAUAUAAAAGGCAUGCAAGUCUCCUAUAUAUGGACUAAACUAUGUUGAAACAACGCAAACAUGCUACCUGGAUUUGAGAAAAGGAUAUGAACACAAUUUUUUCAAUGCAAAGCAAAUAAAAUGGGAAAUGUUAAUGCGAUUAAGAAACGCAAGGAUGAGGAAGGAAAUUGGUGACACCGAGAAGACCAAAUUGAGAGGAUUUUCUUGAAUUAUUUGUAAGAAUUGUUUUCUACAUCCAACCUGGAAAGAAAGGUAUUAUGGCAGUGAAACUUGACAUGGAAAAGGCUAAUGGCCGCAUUGAAUGACCUUAUGUGCAAGCUAUGUUGAAUUCUAUAAGUUCCCGACAUCGUUAGCGCAAACGAUUAUGGCUUGUAUCUCUUCAAUAUCACACCAUAUCUUGAUAAAUGGACAACCCAAGAGAAGUUUCUCAAUUGACAUAGGUUUGACAUAAGGGGAUUCCCUACCCCUUUACUUAUUUAUCUUGUAUGCAAAUGUUAUCUCUAGUUUGAUAAAUAAGGAAAUCCAAAUGAAUAAUAUAUGUUGUAUCUAAGUAGCUAGAUCAAUUCCAAAGAUCACCCACAUCUUUUUGGUGAAAGAUAGUAUUCUUUUUGCAUGAGCCAACACAAAUGAAGUCGUCACCAUCACGAGAACUCUAGAUUCCUACCAAUCCGCAUCAGGUUAACUUGUUGGCUUGGAUAAGUCUGAAGAAUCAUAUAGUCAAAAUGUGCCUAAUUGUAAAUAAGUUAUGAUUUAUCAGCAGAUAGAUAUCAAGAUUGUGACGUCUCACUCCAGAUAUCUAGGCCUCUCUAUUGUUUUAGGGACAUAAAAAAAAGAUGGCUUCUCAUUUGUUCAAGAAUAGGUGUGGAAGAAGGUAAAGAGGUGGAAAAAGAAAUUUCAAUCUCGAGCGGGAAAAUUAACACUUAUCAAAUCAGUUACUCAGGUGAUUCCAAACUAUGACAUUAGUUGCUACAAGCUACCAAAGAGUUGUUGCAAUGCUUUUGAGAAUAUGAUGGCAAAGUUUUGGUGGGGUUCAUAUGAUGCUUCUAGAUAGGUGCACUAGCUUAGAUAGAAGAGGAUAGGGUGUCCAAGGACAAGGGGUAUGGUGUUUUAUGCCAUUAGUGACUUCAACAAAGCUUAACUAGGAAAGCAAUAUUGGAGGCUAAUUCAAGAUAACAACUCAGUAUUGGAAAGAAUCUUCAAAAACCCAUAAUAUGUUAUAGUUAAGUGAUAGUUCUUCAUCAUGUGCAUAUUUUUCAUUGUUUUAAGUGUUAUUUAUUUUUAAUCAUUAUUUUAUUUAAGGAUGUAUUUGAUAUAGUUUGUCGAUUUUAGUUCUUGAAUUUAAUCAAAUGUUUAUGUUCUUAUUUCCUUGAAUAAGUAUAGAUUUUCGUAGUUUUGCGUUGUUUCUGCUGUUUCAGUGUAGUACUGAAUUUUUGUGAGAAAUCAACAUGACCUAUGUGUAUUAUUUCACACAUAUUUAGAGAUGUAAUUGUCCAAUUGGAGUUAAGUCAAGUGAAAAUGAAAUUAAAGAUCCAUAGCUACCACUUUCAUAAAAACACUAGAACCAAAUUCGAACUCAAAAUAGAAGAAUAAUGCAGUAAAAGUCAGACAACAAAUUAUGUGCGUUGGAGCACAAAUGCUUGUACCUAGGGUGCAAUUCUACAAUAUUUUGACAUUUUUUUUCUGUCCAAGAGUGUUGGAGCGCCCCAUGCACGUUCUGGGGUGCAUGACACGCUGCAGAAUGCAUAAAGUGUGUUUUCUCACUUUCUAUGUAUCUUUUUGACUAUUUUGAAGUUUGUAGGUUUGUGCCAUAGUAGAGAAACUCAAAAGAGGCUGGUUCUAACACCAUUGAUGGAUUUUUAUGAAGAAUCAUUCAUAAGUCUUUCUUGUAAUUCUUCUUUAGUCUCUAUCUUUUGUAUCUUUGUCAUGAGUAACUAACCCUAUUUGUUAGGGAUUAGUGAAACAAGAUGAAACAUUUAUUUGUAUGAUUUGAUAUAUAGUUAUAUGAAUGAGUUUAUUGAAUUAA
Cicer arietinum (chickpea) is the source of this 4442-nucleotide long non-coding RNA. RefSeq lists it as uncharacterized. Lineage: Eukaryota; Viridiplantae; Streptophyta; Magnoliopsida; Fabales; Fabaceae. The record is from RefSeq and is a predicted model, not a curated record.